Molecule: ribosomal RNA, 1357 nt
Filed under: Candidatus Phytoplasma citri
Lineage: Bacteria; Bacillati; Mycoplasmatota; Mollicutes; Acholeplasmatales; Acholeplasmataceae
Description: bacterial SSU rRNA
Rfam family: Bacterial small subunit ribosomal RNA
Source: RNAcentral
UUUGAUCCUGGCUCAGGAUUAACGCUGGCGGCGUGCCUAAUACAUGCAAGUCGAACGGAAACCUUCGGGUUUUAGUGGCGAACGGGUGAGUAACACGUAAGCAACCUACCCUAAAGACGAGGAUAACCAUUGGAAACAGUGGCUAAGACUGGAUAGGAAGAUAAAAGGCAUCUUUUAUCUUUUAAAAGACCUAGUAAUAGGUAUGCUUUAGGAGGGGCUUGCGCCAUAUUAGUUAGUUGGUAGGGUAAUGGCCUACCAAGACGAUGAUGUGUAGCUGGACUGAGAGGUUGAACAGCCACAUUGGGACUGAGACACGGCCCAAACUCCUACGGGAGGCAGCAGUAGGGAAUUUUCGGCAAUGGAGGAAACUCUGACCGAGCAACGCCGCGUGAAUGACGAAGUACUUCGGUAUGUAAAGUUCUUUUAUCAAGGAAGAAAAGCAAAUGGCGAACCAUUUGUUUGCCGGUACUUGAUGAAUAAGCCCCGGCUAAUUAUGUGCCAGCAGCCGCGGUAAGACAUAAGGGGCAAGUGUUAUCCGGAAUUAUUGGGCGUAAAGGGUGCGUAGGCGGUCUAGUAAGUCAGUGGUGUAAUGGCAACGCUUAACGUUGUCCGGCUAUUGAAACUGCUAAACUUGAGUUAGAUAGAGGCGAGUGGAAUUCCAUGUGUAGCGGUAAAAUGCGUAAAUAUAUGGAGGAACACCAGAGGCGUAGGCGGCUCGCUGGGUCUUAACUGACGCUGAGGCACGAAAGCGUGGGGAGCAAACAGGAUUAGAUACCCUGGUAGUCCACGCCGUAAACGAUGAAGUACUAAGUGUCGGGUUAAACCGGUACUGAAGUUAACACAUUAAGUACUCCGCCUGAGUAGUACGUACGCAAGUAUGAAACUUAAAGGAAUUGACGGGACUCCGCACAAGCGGUGGAUCAUGUUGUUUAAUUCGAAGAUACCCGAAAAACCUUACCAGGUCUUGACAUGUUUUUGCAAAAUGAUAGUAAUAUCGUGGAGGUUACCAGAAACACAGGUGGUGCAUGGUUGUCGUCAGCUCGUGUCGUGAGAUGUUAGGUUAAGUCCUAAAACGAGCGAAACCCUUAUCGUUAGUUGCCAGCACGUUAUGGUGGGGACUUUAACGAGACUGCCAAUGAUAAAUUGGAGGAAGGUGAGGAUCACGUCAAAUCAGCAUGCCCCUUAUGACCUGGGCUACAAACGUGAUCCAAUGGCUGUUCCAAAGGGUAGCUGAAACGCAAGUUCUUGGCCAAUCCCCAAAAACAGUCCCAGUCCGGAUUGAAGUCUGCAACUCGACUUCAUGAAGUUGGAAUCGCUAGUAAUCGCGAAUCAGCAUGUCGCGGUGAAUACGUUCUCG